This 400-nucleotide ribosomal RNA is filed under the name uncultured bacterium. RNAcentral describes it as "bacterial SSU rRNA". It matches the Rfam family "Bacterial small subunit ribosomal RNA", at positions 355 to 770 of the family's 1533-position model. The record is from RNAcentral.
UGGGGAAUAUUGGGCAAUGGGGGAAACCCUGACCCAGCAACGCCGCGUGAGGGAAGAAGGUUUUCGGAUUGUAAACCUCUGUUCUUGGAGAAGAGAAGGAGACGGUAUCCAAGGAGGAAGCCCCGGCUAACUACGUGCCAGCAGCCGCGGUAAUACGUAGGGGGCGAGCGUUGUCCGGAAUGAUUGGGCGUAAAGGGCGCGUAGGCGGCCGAGCAAGUCAGUAGUGGAAGUCCAAUUUUCAAGGUUGGAAGUGCUAUUGAAACUGCAGGGCUUGAGUGCAGGAGAGGUUAUCGGAAUUCCCGGUGUAGCGGUGAAAUGCGUAGAGAUCGGGAGGAACACCAGUGGCGAAGGCGGGUAACUGGACUGCAACUGACGCUGAGGCGCGAAAGUGUGGGGAGCA